UUUUUGCACGUCCCAUCCUAGUUCUGCGUGCAGUUGCAUCAGCACCGUCGAAAAUCAUCACACGGCCCCACCAUAUGUCGGCCCUAAAUUUAACAGCCAAGACGCAGACACCGCCUCUUGUGCAAAUGUAGAAAUUAACCAAACAUCAAAAUAAAUCAAGAAAUUGAGACCCACAAAAAUUCUCAGAGGAACUCCAAUGGCAGAACCAAAACCAGAGCUCAAGGACUCUCUCUCAGUAAAAAUUUGAUCUUGGUGAUGGGUUUUAGAUAAAGUUAAUAGUUCUCUGAGGUGGUGGUAUUUGUUAAGCCGAUGUAAAUUGCGAAGAGAGGAAUUCAAGCUCGAGUGCAUAGGAGAGCACAACCUCUUUAAUCAAUGUGUUUACGCCAACGUCUGUUAUUUAUUGAAGAACAUUGUAGAAAUGAUACUUCUAUUAGCCAAGUCUCGAUUUUAAAUUAUAAAUUUAUGCAUAUAUUUAUGUAUUCUGGCAUGGCAGAGAAAUCAGCAGGACAUCAUGGUGAUAAAUCGCCAAGGCAUGACAAAGAAACGCAUGGAAGGAGUGAUGACAUUGAUGAGAGCACCUCCAUAGAUGAAG
Malus domestica (apple) is the source of this 592-nucleotide non-coding RNA. Lineage: Eukaryota; Viridiplantae; Streptophyta; Magnoliopsida; Rosales; Rosaceae. The record is from RefSeq and is a predicted model, not a curated record.